AUGGCACCCCAGCUCUCCUCCCUUGCUGCAUCCGCGGGCAUAUGUGUAGUCUCAGCUCUCGCCUUAGCCCUGAUGGUGAUCACCCUCUACAUCAUUGGCGUUGUUGUAUCCUUUGCCGUCUUCUACAUCAGAGAGUUCACCCAGAGAGCCCAUGAUCGGCCGCCGCUCACCGGGACCGUCUUCCGGCAGCUCAACAACUUUGACAAGAUCUUCGAUGAGCAUGUGAAGUAUGCACUCCUGCACCCCACCAUUAGGCUUGUCUAUCCUGGGCACAGUGAGAUUUUAACCGCCGACCCUGCCGUCAUCGAGCAUAUCCUUAAGACAAACUUCAGUAAAUACAGGAGGGGGGCCUUCAACACGGAGACCGUGAAGGAUCUGUUUGGAAAUGUGAUUUUCGUUACAGACGGAGAGAAGUGGCAACACCAGAGAAAGCUAGCAAGCCAUGAGUUCUCAACCAAAGUGCUACGUGACUACAGCAGUGAUGUUUUCUGAAUGAAUGCUAUGAAAUUGGCAGAGAAGACCUCAGCUGCAGCAGCUAACAGAAUUACCAUAAACUUGCAGGUACUUCCUCAAUAUAAACAGUAUAGUACUGUUUACAAAGUGGGAUUCGGUUUUGACCUAAACACGCUAUCCGGAUCAGAUGAAUCCAGCAUUGAAUUCAGCAAGGCCUUCGAUGAGGCAAAUUCUCUUGUUUACCAUUAUGUUGAUAUGUUCUGGGAGUUGAAAAUGUAUCUUAAUAUCGGGUCAGAAGCCAAACUGAAGAGGAGCAUAAAGAUAAUCGACGACUUUGUGAUACAGUUGAUCCAUCAAAAGAGAGAGAUCAUGAAGAACAUAAGUGGCCAUAAAGCCAGAGAUGACAUACUAUCAAGAUUCAUACUGGAAAGUGAGAAUGAUCCUGGGACGAUGAACGAUCGUUACCUUCGUGACAUAGUCCUCAGCUUCCUGAUUGCUAGUAAAGACACCACAGGGAAUACCCUUACAUGGUUCUUCUACAUGCUCUGCAAGAACCCAGUAGUGCAGGAU
Molecule: ribosomal RNA, 1023 nt
Filed under: Triticum aestivum (bread wheat)
Lineage: Eukaryota; Viridiplantae; Streptophyta; Magnoliopsida; Poales; Poaceae
Description: partial small subunit ribosomal RNA
Source: RNAcentral